UGGCGGACUGGUGAGUAACACGUAAGCAACCUACCUAUUAGAGGGGAAUAACAGUGAGAAAUCACUGCUAAAACCGCAUAUGCCGUGAAUAUCGCAUGAUAAAAACGGGAAAAGAGCAAUCUGCUAAUAGAUGGGCUUGCGUCUGAUUAGCUAGUUGGUGUGGUAAAGGCAUACCAAGGCAACGAUCAGUAGCCGGACUGAGAGGUUGAACGGCCACAUUGGGACUGAGAUACGGCCCAGACUCCUACGGGAGGCAGCAGUCGGGAAUAUUGCGCAAUGGAGGAAACUCUGACGCAGUGACGCCGCGUAUGGGAAGAAGGUUUUCGGAUUGUAAACCAUUUUAGACAAGGAAGAAACAAGACAGUACUUGUAGAAUAAGCUCCGGCUAACUACGUGCCAGCAGCCGCGGUAAUACGUAGGGAGCAAGCGUUAUCCGGAUUUAUUGGGUGUAAAGGGUGCGUAGACGGGAAGGUAAGUUAGUUGUGAAAUCCCUCGGCUCAACUGAGGAACUGCGACUAAAACUGCUUUUCUUGAGUGCUGGAGAGGAAAGUGGAAUUCCUAGUGUAGCGGUGAAAUGCGUAGAUAUUAGGAGGAACAC
This 598-nucleotide ribosomal RNA is filed under the name uncultured Lachnospiraceae bacterium. Its description in RNAcentral is "bacterial SSU rRNA". It matches the Rfam family "Bacterial small subunit ribosomal RNA", at positions 96 to 709 of the family's 1533-position model. Lineage: Bacteria; Bacillati; Bacillota; Clostridia; Lachnospirales; Lachnospiraceae. The record is from RNAcentral.